AAUCCUUUAACAAGGACCUAUUGGAGGGCAAGUCUGGUGCCAGCAGCCGCGGUAACUCCAGCUCCAAUAGCGUAUAUUAAAGUUGUUGCGGUUAAAACGUUCGUAGUUGAACUUGUGCUUCAUACGGGUAGUAUAACUAUAAUUGUAGUCUGUACUAUACCUUAUGUAUGUAAGCGUAUUACCGGUGGAGUUCUUAUAUAUAUUAAAUACUUGUAUUUAUAUGUAUUCCUCCUAUUUAAACCUGCUUCAGUGCUCUUCAUUGCGUGCUGUUGUAGGCCGGUACAAUUACUUUGAACAAAUCAGUGCUUAAAGCAGGCUCCAAAUGCCUGAAUAUUUUGUGCAUGGAAUAAUGAAAUAAGACCUCUGUUCUACUUUCAUUGGUUUUUAGAUCAAGAGGUAAUGAUUAAUAGAAGCAGUUUGGGGGCAUUAGUAUUACGACGCGAGAGUCGAAAUUCUUGGACCGUCGUAAGACUAACUUAAGCGAAAGCAUUUGCCAAAGAUGUUUUCAUUAAUCAAGAACGAAAGUUAGAGGUUCGAAGGCGAUCAGAUACCGCCCUAGUUCUAACCAUAAACGAUGCCAGCUAGCAAUUGGGUGUAGCUACUAUUAUGGCUCUCUCAGUCGCUUCCCGGGAAACCAAAGCUUUUGGGCUCCGGGGGAAGUAUGGUUGCAAAGCUGAAACUUAAAGGAAUUGACGGAAGGGCACCACCAGGAGUGGAGCCUGCGGCUUAAUUUGACCCAACACGGGAAAACUUACCAGGUCCGAACAUAAGCGUGUAAGACAGAUUGAUAGCUCUUUCUCGAAUCUAUGGGUGGUGGUGCAUGGCCGUUCUUAGUUCGUGGAGUGAUUUGUCUGGUUAAUUCCGAUAACGAACGAGACUCAAAUAUAUUAAGUAGAUGCUUUCAGGAUUAUGGUGUUUGAAGCUUUUAUAGCCUUCAUUCAUGAAUGCAGUAACAUGUGUGAGUGUUUGAAUGUGUUUAUAAAGGUGGAGCCGUACCUGUUGGUUUGUCCCAUUAUAAGGACACUAGCUUCUUAAAUGGACAAAUUGCGUCUAGCAAUAAUGAGAUUGAGCAAUAACAGGUCUGUGAUGCCCUUAGAUGUCCUGGGCUGCACGCGCGCUACAAUGAAAGUAUCAACGUGUAUUUCCUAGACCGAGAGGUCCGGGUAAACCGCUGAACCACUUUCAUGCUUGGGAUUGUGAACUGAAACUGUUCACAUGAACUUGGAAUUCCCAGUAAGUGUGAGUCAUUAACUCGCAUUGAUUACGUCCCUGCCCUUUGUACACACCGCCCGUCGCUACUACCGAUUGAAUUAUUUAGUGAGGUCUCCGGACGUGAUCACUGUAACGCCUUGCGUGUUACGGAUGUUUCGCAAAAGUUGACCGAACUUGAUUAUUUAGAGGAAGUAAAAGUC
Molecule: ribosomal RNA, 1412 nt
Filed under: metagenome
Description: SSU rRNA
Rfam family: Eukaryotic small subunit ribosomal RNA
Source: RNAcentral